AAUCCUGUGGCCUAGUGGUUAGAGUAUCCACCUAAAAUGUGGAAGGUCAUGGGUUAGAACCCUGACCGAAUCA
Molecule: non-coding RNA, 73 nt
Organism: Potamilus streckersoni
Lineage: Eukaryota; Metazoa; Mollusca; Bivalvia; Unionida; Unionidae
Source: the annotation of a GenBank genome assembly